RNAcentral lists this ribosomal RNA (895 nucleotides) under uncultured euryarchaeote. RNAcentral's name for it is "bacterial SSU rRNA". It matches the Rfam family "Archaeal small subunit ribosomal RNA", at positions 85 to 882 of the family's 1478-position model. Lineage: Archaea; Methanobacteriati; Methanobacteriota. The record is from RNAcentral.
ACGGCUCAGUAACACGUCGUUAAUCUGACCUUAAGCUCAGGAUACCCUUGGGAAACUGAGGCUAAUACCGAAUGAGAAAGAUAUUCUGGAAUGAAUUUUUUCUGAAAGGCAACACUUAAGGAUGAGACGGCGGCGGAUUAGGCAGUUGGCGGUGUAAUGGACCACCAAACCUUUGAUCCGUACGGGGAAUGAGAGUUCCAGCCCGGAGAGGGACACUGAGAUACUGGUCCCAGCCCUACGGGGUGCAGCAGGCGCGAAACCUUUACAAUGUGCGAAAGCGUGAUAAGGGAAUCCUAAGUGCUCAUGUUUUACAUGGGCUUUUGCCGAAGGCAAAUACUUCGGAGAAUAAGUGGUGGGUAAGACUGGUGCCAGCCGCCGCGGUGACCCCAGCGCCACAAGUGGGGAUCACUAUUAUUGGGUCUAAAGCGUUCGUAGCAGGUCUUGCAAAUUUCUUGUGAAAUUGUUGUGCUUAACACAACAGACUGCAGGGAAGACUACAAGACUUGGAAUUGGGAGACGUAAGCAGUAUUCUCGGGGGAGCGGUUAAAUGUUAUAAUCCCGAGAGGACUACCGAUGCCGAAGGGAGCUUACGAGUACAAAUUCGACUGUGAGGGACGAAAGCUAGGGGAGCGAAAAGGAUUAGAUAUCGAAAAUCUUGUAAACGAUUUUCGGACUUAGUCUCGCAAUUUGCUCAUACACUACAUUGCGAAAACUAUCUGAAGAUUUCAUCAAGAUUGCUCGACUAAAUACCCUUGUAGUCCUAGCCGUAAACACUGUCAGCUAGAUAUGACAUGAUCUUCGUGUUUGUGUCGUAUCGCAAUGAAGAUGCAAGCUGACCACCUGGGAAGUAUAGUCGCAAGGCCGAAACUUAAAGGAAUUGGCGGGGGAGCACAAU